GAGACAUAAACAUUUUCUAAUAACUCAAGCUUUCAAUAACAAUCUGCUAUGUGUUGCCAGGGUCUUGGAGAAAACCAAAGACAAAGGAACCAUCUUCUUCCCUGAGGUCAACAAUGGAAGGAGACGUAGAAGACACAAAAACAAGAACUUGGCAGGCUCAGGACAUGACAACGGAGAAGAACACCAAUAUGGAUCAAGGAAGGAUUGAAAGACAGUAAAGGGCACACUAGGACUCUGUACAAAGAGGGAGAGAAGAUACAGCCUCUUCCUAUACACAGUUUGCAGGACCUCAUUCGCACUCCAAUGACAAUGAAAGGAAGGGGGUGUCGGGCAGAGAAGCAAAGAGCUCCGGUUCUCACCAUCACACGGUAGCGGUAGCGGGUGUAAGUUUGUUCCCAACAUACCAGACAGAGAGCAACUCUCACCAGAGAAGAUCCCAAUGUGUUUUAUGCUAGAUCUGACUUUAAUUAAGUGUAGACAAUGCUCCCAUCAGUGCUGGAACUGGCCCCGGUAACUUGCUUUAGCUGAUGGAAUGUUACCAAACACAACAUGAUCAAAGGCUUGAGAGAUGAUUUCCCUCCUGUGCUUCCGCAAUUACCAUGAAAAGAACAUGGCCUGGUGGUCCCUGAUCCCCAAAGAAUGACGGACACCUGGAAAAAGCUUGGAGUAACAGAUUCAUG
Pan troglodytes (chimpanzee) is the source of this 680-nucleotide long non-coding RNA. RefSeq lists it as uncharacterized. Lineage: Eukaryota; Metazoa; Chordata; Mammalia; Primates; Hominidae. The transcript is spliced from 5 exons. The record is from RefSeq and is a predicted model, not a curated record.